RNAcentral lists this ribosomal RNA (303 nucleotides) under uncultured bacterium. RNAcentral describes it as "partial 16S ribosomal RNA". It matches the Rfam family "Bacterial small subunit ribosomal RNA", at positions 507 to 809 of the family's 1533-position model. The record is from RNAcentral.
AGCAGUAGCCACGGUAAUACGGAGGAUCCAAGCGUUAUCCGGAAUCAUUGGGUUUAAAGGGUCCGUAGGCGGUCUUGUAAGUCAGUGGUGAAAGCCCAUCGCUCAACGGUGGAACGGCCAUUGAUACUGCAGGACUUGAAUUAUUGGGAAGUAACUAGAAUAUGUAGUGUAGCGGUGAAAUGCUUAGAGAUUACAUGGAAUACCAAUUGCGAAGGCAGGUUACUACCAAUUGAUUGACGCUGAUGGACGAAAGCGUGGGUAGCGAACAGGAUUAGAUACCCCAGUAGUCCCUGUCUCUUAUAU